GCCCCCGUGGCCGAGAGGUUAGGCGUCCGGCUUAUAUCCGGAUAAAGGCAGUGGCCAGAUAAGCCACCCAUGCAGGUUCGAGUCCUGCCGGGGGCACCA
This 99-nucleotide transfer RNA is filed under the name Dyella agri. Its description in RNAcentral is "tRNA-Ile". It matches the Rfam family "tRNA". From Rfam's summary of the family: Transfer RNA (tRNA) molecules are approximately 80 nucleotides in length. Their secondary structure includes four short double-helical elements and three loops (D, anti-codon, and T loops). Further hydrogen bonds mediate the characteristic L-shaped molecular structure. tRNAs have two regions of fundamental functional importance: the anti-codon, which is responsible for specific mRNA codon recognition, and the 3' end, to which the tRNAs corresponding amino acid is attached (by aminoacyl-tRNA synthetases). tRNAs cope with the degeneracy of the genetic code in two manners: having more than one tRNA (with a specific anti-codon) for a particular amino acid; and 'wobble' base-pairing, i.e. permitting non-standard base-pairing at the 3rd anti-codon position. The record is from RNAcentral. RNAcentral also lists the same sequence under 3 other names. Lineage: Bacteria; Pseudomonadati; Pseudomonadota; Gammaproteobacteria; Lysobacterales; Rhodanobacteraceae.